RNAcentral lists this ribosomal RNA (293 nucleotides) under Escherichia coli. RNAcentral's name for it is "partial 23S ribosomal RNA". It matches the Rfam family "Bacterial large subunit ribosomal RNA", at positions 2656 to 2925 of the family's 2925-position model. The record is from RNAcentral. Lineage: Bacteria; Pseudomonadati; Pseudomonadota; Gammaproteobacteria; Enterobacterales; Enterobacteriaceae.
GGAGAACUGAGGGGGGCUGCUCCUAGUACGAGAGGACCGGAGUGGACGCAUCACUGGUGUUCGGGUUGUCAUGCCAAUGGCACUGCCCGGUAGCUAAAUGCGGAAGAGAUAAGUGCUGAAAGCAUCUAAGCACGAAACUUGCCCCGAGAUGAGUUCUCCCUGACUCCUUGAGAGUCCUGAAGGAACGUUGAAGACGACGACGUUGAUAGGCCGGGUGUGUAAGCGCAGCGAUGCGUUGAGCUAACCGGUACUAAUGAACCGUGAGGCUUAACCUUACAACGCCGAAGGUGUUU